RNAcentral lists this ribosomal RNA (451 nucleotides) under uncultured bacterium. RNAcentral describes it as "bacterial SSU rRNA". It matches the Rfam family "Bacterial small subunit ribosomal RNA", at positions 373 to 821 of the family's 1533-position model. The record is from RNAcentral.
GGGCGCAAGCCUGAACCAGCCAUGCCGCGUGCAGGAAGACGGCCUUCCGGGUUGUAAACUGCUUUUGUACGGGAAUAAACCUCCGAUCGUGAUUGGAGCUGAAUGUACCGUAAGAAUAACGAUCGGCUAACUCCGUGCCAGCAGCCGCGGUAAUACGGAGGAUCCGAGCGUUAUCGGGAUUUAUUGGGUAUAAAGGGUGCGUAGGCGGCCUGUUAAGUCAGGGGAGAAAGACGGUGGCUCAACCAUGGCAGCGCCCUUGAUACUGAUGGGCUUGAAUGGAAGAGAGGUAGGCGGAAUGUGACAAGUAGCGGUGAAAUGCAGAGAUAUGUCACAGAACACCGAUUGAGAAGGCAGCCUACUAUGGUCAUAUAGACGCUGAGGCAAGAAAGCGUGGGGAUCGACCAGGAUUAGAUACCCUGGUUGUCCACGCCCUAAACGAUGAACACUCGCU